UACGUAGGGGGCGAGCGUUGUCCGGAUUCAUUGGGCGUAAAGCGCGCGUAGGCGGCUCCGCAAGUCGGCCGUGAAAUCUCCGGGCUCAACUCGGAGGGGUCGGGCGAGACUGCGGGGCUCGAGGUGGGCAGAGGGCAGUGGAAUUCUGGGUGUAGUGGUGGAAUGCGUAGAGAUCCGGAGGAACACCAGUGGCGAAGGCGGCUGCCUGGGCCUGGCCUGACGCUGAGGCGCGAAAGCGUGGGGAGCAAUCCGG
This 253-nucleotide ribosomal RNA is filed under the name uncultured bacterium. Its description in RNAcentral is "partial 16S ribosomal RNA". It matches the Rfam family "Bacterial small subunit ribosomal RNA", at positions 524 to 776 of the family's 1533-position model. The record is from RNAcentral.